AGGGGAGUCUUGGGGUUUUCAGGAAUUUGCCACAUUAACCCGGGAGCUGAGCGUGUGUCGGGAGCAGCUUCUAGAACGGGAGGAGGAGAUUUCAGAGCUGAAAGCUGAACGGAAUAACACGAGGCUGCUGUUAGAACAUCUCGAGUGCCUUUGUGUCCCGCCAUGAGCGAUCCCUUCGAAUGACUGUCGUGAAGCGUCAGGCUCAGUCUCCCUCCGGUGUCUCCAGUGAGGUGGAAGUGCUCAAAGCCCUGAAGUCUCUGUUUGAGCACCACAAGGCACUGGAUGAGAAGGUUCGGGAGAGGCUGCGGGCAGCGCUGGAGCGUGUGAGCACGCUGGAGGAGCAGCUGGCAGGUGCUCACCAGCAGGUGUCUGUUCUCCAGCAGGGAGCGGGGCCCCGGGAUGGAGCUUCUGGAGAAGAUGGGGCCCUGGAGUUGGGACCAAGACUCUUGUGGAAGGAUGAAGCAGGCCGGGCGGGAGAGCUGCAGGAGCGCCUGGAGAAGCAGACCUUUGAGCUGAACCAGGCCCGUGAACGCCUGGUUGCCCUGGCUGGCACGGUGGCCGAGCUCGAGGAGGACCUGAGCACCGCCCGGAGGGACCUCAUCAAGUCUGAGGAGCUAAGCAGCAGACACCAGCGGGACCUCCGCGAGGCUUUGGCGCAGAAGGAUGACAUGGAAGAGAGAAUCACCACGCUGGAGAAACGCUACCUGGCGGCCCAACGUGAAGCCACGUCCAUCCAUGACCUCAAUGACAAGCUGGAGAAUGAAUUGGCCAAUAAAGAGUCCUUGCACCGUCAGUGUGAGGAGAAGGCCCGGCACCUACAGGAGCUUCUGGAGCUGGCUGAGCAGAAGCUUCAGCAGACAAUGCGCAAAGCUGAGACCCUGCCCGAGGUCGAGGCUGAGCUGGCUCAGAGAAUCGCUGCCCUCACCAAGGCUGAAGAGCGGCACGGAAACAUUGAAGAGCACCUCCGGCAGCUGGAGGCACAGCUAGAAGAGAAGAACCAGGAGCUGGCCAGGGUACGCCAACGGGAAAAGAUGAAUGAAGACCACAAUAAGCGUCUCUCAGACACCGUAGAUCGGCUACUGAGUGAGUCCAAUGAACGGCUGCAGCUACACCUUAAGGAGCGGAUGGCUGCUCUUGAGGAAAAGAAUACACUCAUCCAGGAGCUGGAGAGCUCCCAGAGGCAGAUUGAGGAGCAGCAGCACCACAAGGGCCGCCUUUCAGAAGAGAUUGAGAAGCUCCGCCUGGAAGUGGACCAGCUGAAGGGUCGAGGGGGGCCAUUUGCAGAUGGCGUCCAUUCCAGGUCCCACAUGGGCAGUGCUGCGGACCUUCGGUUCUCUAUGAGUGCCGGAGCCCACGCUCCUGCUGGCCCUACCCCCAGUCUUCACCGCAGAUUUUCUGCCCUUCGAGAGGAGCCCACCAAGGACUGGGAACCGUCGCCACUCUCCGGGGUGCUGACUUCCACGGCCGCCCCCGCCUUUGAUAGUGACCCUGAGAUCUCAGACAUAGACGAGGAUGAGCCAGAGGGGCUGGUGGGCUCGGUGGGCGUCAUCUCUCCCAGUGGUCACUCGGAUGCUCAGACCUUGGCCAUGAUGCUUCAAGAACAGCUGGACGCCAUCAAUGAAGAGAUCAGGAUGAUUCAGGAGGAGAAGGAAUCGACAGAGCUCCGAGCGGAAGAGAUCGAGACACGGGUAACCAGCGGCAGCAUGGAAGCGCUGAACCUCACCCAACUGCGCAAACGCAGCUCAAUCCCCACCUCGCUGACCGCCCUGUCUCUGGCCAGUGCUUCUCCACCCCUCAGUGGCCGCUCUACACCCAAACUCACCUCCCGCAGUGCAGCCCAGGACCUGGACCGGAUGGGUGUCAUGACCUUGCCGAGUGACUUGAGGAAGCAUAGGAGGAAGCUACUGUCACCAGUGGCUCGGGAAGAGAACCGAGAAGAUAAAACCACCAUAAAAUGUGAGACUUCUCCUCCUUCCUCACCCAGGACUUUGCGGUUAGAGAAGCUUGGCCAUCCGGCCCUGAGCCAGGAUGAAGGUAAAAGUUCCUUGGAUGACCAAGGCAGUAACCCCAGCAGCAGCAACAGCAGCCAGGACUCCCUGCACAAGGGCACCAAGCGCAAGGGAAUCAAGUCAUCCAUUGGUCGACUCUUUGGGAAGAAAGAGAAGGGCAGGAUGAUCCAACUGAGCCGAGAAGGAGCCACAGGCCAUGUUCUUCUGUCAGAGUCAGAGGUCAAUCUGCAGGAGCCCCUGGUGCCUGCCAAGCUGGGAACCCAGGCUGAAAAGGACCGACGCUUGAGAAAGAAACACCAGCUUCUUGAGGAUGCACGCCGGAAGGGAAUGCCUUUUGCCCACUGGGAUGGCCCCACCGUGGUCUCAUGGCUGGAGUUGUGGGUGGGAAUGCCAGCCUGGUAUGUGGCUGCCUGUCGAGCCAAUGUCAAGAGUGGUGCCAUCAUGUCGGCUCUCUCAGACACGGAGAUCCAGCGGGAGAUAGGCAUCAGCAAUGCCCUGCACCGGCUCAAACUUCGGCUGGCCAUCCAGGAGAUGGUGUCAUUGACUAGUCCUUCAGCCCCACCCACCUCUAGGACGUCCUCGGGGAAUGUUUGGGUCACCCACGAGGAGAUGGAGACGCUGGCAACAUCCACAAAAACAGACAGUGAGGAGGGCAGCUGGGCUCAGACCCUGGCCUAUGGGGACAUGAAUCACGAGUGGAUUGGGAAUGAGUGGCUCCCCAGCCUGGGCCUCCCCCAGUACCGCAGCUACUUCAUGGAAUGCUUGGUGGAUGCCCGCAUGCUGGAUCAUCUCACUAAGAAGGACCUUCGAGUCCAUCUGAAGAUGGUGGACAGCUUCCAUCGGAGCAGCCUGCAGUAUGGCAUCAUGUGCUUAAAGAGACUUAAUUAUGACCGAAAGGAGUUGGAGAAGAGAAGAGAGGAGAGCCAGCAUGAGAUCAAGGAUGUGCUGGUCUGGACCAAUGACCAGGUGAUACACUGGAUCCAAUCUAUUGGGCUGCGGGACUAUGCCAGCAACCUUCACGAGAGUGGUGUGCAUGGGGCCCUCCUCGCUCUGGAUGAGAACUUUGACCACAACACCUUGGCCCUGGUCUUACAGAUUCCCACACAGAACACCCAGGCUCGCCAAGUGAUGGAAAGAGAGUUUAAUAACCUGCUGGCCUUGGGCACAGAUCGGAAGCUGGAUGAUGGGGAGGACAAGGUGUUCCGCCGCGCCCCCUCCUGGAGGAAACGCUUCCGGCCCCGGGACCCCCACGGAGGGAUGCUCAGCACCUCAGCAGAGACCCUCCCCACCAGCUUCCGGGUCUCCACGCUGGGGCCCUUGCAGCCCCCGCCGGCUCCGCCAAAGAAGAUGCUGCCAGAAGCGGGGACACCAGGGUCACAGAGACUGGAGACCUCUACGGUUCGGACCUACUCCUGCUGAACUCCCCCCUACCUUCCCUACCCCGGGUCUGACGGGGGUGUGCCCGUGGCUCGGGUUCAUUCCCAUUAUCUCUAUGGACACAUGCUCUCCGCCUUCCGGGACUAGCCACGGCCCCAGCCGGCUUCCUCCUGGGCCUCAGCGGCCAGCCGGCUCCAUCCCCUCCUGCUUGUUCCCUUUCCAGUAGUUCCCAGUCUUGUCUGUGACUUUCCAGUGGCCCCGGAUCUCAGCAUAUAUUCAUUCUCUAGCGCUGACCCUCGUCCCUUUCGUCCGUGUGUUUCAUGAGGCUUUGGCUGGGGCCUAGGUGUGCCAGGCUCAGCCUGCGGAUGGGUCAUUCUCUGACUGCAGGGGAGAGAAGGCAGCAAGCCCAGGGGGAAACUCCUCCUUCCCCUUCUGAAUCCCUGACCUGUUCCCGGGACCCUGGAGCGUGUCCGCAGAGAAGUGUGGUCUCAGCCUCCUAACUUCUAGAGGAGCCUCUGGGCCUUGAGAGUGUUUCUGCCUAACAACUGAUUUGGACACCCUGUGACAGCUUCUACAUUAGCAAUAGCCGGCAGAAAUAGCUCUCAGGGCUUAGGGUUUCAAGGGACCUUGAAAUCUUCCAAUAAGGCAGGAGAACAGAGCAAAGGGCUUGCCCUAGGCUUGGGGCAUGGGGAGAGUGAAAUAGCAGGAAUAUUUCCACCACCAGAUGAGGUUCCGUCUCAGUCUUUCUGGGAUCCAAGCCCCAGGCUCUGGCCAAAGAGAAUUGUAGGAAGAAUGAGGUUGACCAGCAGGCCAGCUUGGGACCAGUGUGGGAAAAAGGAUGAGAAGACAUGAAAUAGAAAACUGCAGGCCAAGAGUGUGUGUAUGGGAAACCCCUUUCUUCAGUCAGAUAUUCAGGUAGGUGGGAGGGGAGAGCGGAUGGUCUUCUGUUAGCAAUAAGCCACAUGUAGCCAUGAGGGCCCUCUCCUCUCACUCCCCAGAUUCUGGCAGGAUGGCUGGGUUGGUGGAUAUUCUGGGUGUGUUCUUUUGGCAACGCUAUCCUCAGAGAAUAUGCUAGAAGAAUGCUGUAGCUUUACACUGGCUCAAAAAAUUGGGGUUUGAAAGAGGAGCAGGCAAGGAUUCUCCUCUGCGUCCUCCCCAAGGAUGGAAGUAGGAAGGUGGGGGGGGAAGAAAAGAGGGAUGAGGAGAUCCGCUUCUCUGAAGAUGGUAACUGUAUCUGUAUCCUUUUAGUCUUAAAAUCUCAUAGAAAAUAACCCUAAUUUCCAGUCUUCUGACUUGCCAUAGAUUCCUCCUUCCCUCUGUCCUGAGUCUGUUCUCUGUCCUGGGAGUGUCCCAGGAAGAGGAGUUCUCAGGAAACCCUCCUCCUCCUCCUAUCCUUUUCCCACCAAGAGGUAGUGCAGGUGCCUAGAGUUUGUGUCAGUGGUGAGUGGCUGGUGUAGGGGGCAGGAGAGGGGAGCCCACGACUCGAGUUUUAGAGUAAGGAGUCGGAGAAAAUGACCAGUUUCCAGGGACCUCUACAACCCCCUGUCCUUCCUGGGUCUCUCUCCAGAAGAGGGCUACAAUUUUACCAUUCUUCAGGUAGGCAUUCCUGUGGGGCUUGAGCCAGUUUGCUGGUGUGUCUGCUUAGCUUUUGACCUGGGCGUAGAUAAGAGACAGACUGAGGCAGUAGAGCUACCUGCCUACCUGGAGGGAUGAUGCCCCAGGAGGGGGCCCAGCAUGGUGCUAGCUCUCAACCUGGUCCUUUGUUUGCUUUGUAAUGGGAGGAAGAGGAACAAUAAACCUCUGUCUGCCUGGAUGGACACUUCUGCAGCCAGGAACCGAUGUGCCUGCUCCUUUGGCGGUUUAGGCAAGUGGGAAGGAAUCGUGCGGUACCUGUCCUCUCCAAGGGCCCUCCCCUCCCCUUUGGGACUUCUGUGCUCAUAUGGCACCUGCUCCCUUCCCACUGUGCUGAUGGAGGUGGUGGAGCUGGAAUGUUUAACCCGAAAAUGAGUGGGAAGGAGACUAGGCAGAGAGAAGAAAUUCUGUUACAAGACCAGACUUUGGGGUUCUAGAGUAUUCAAUGUUAAGAUCCUGGGAUUGGGCAUCUAGGAUCAUGGGGACUGCAGCAACCUCUGAAUCCUUUAAAGGACUUGAUUAUUUUUCUUUUGUAAACAUCCCACUGUAAAUGGGCUGUGCUGGAUGAGAGACCAGGCCAACAGCUGCAGCUCCAGCCCCAUCUCCCCAGGCCCUUAAUGUUGACCUGCCCCAACUGGCCUGAUCCCAGGUCUGGAGAGAUUGAACACAUCCUUCCAAGGGCUGUUGGGAAGGGGGGGGGGACCUGCGUCACGCUGUGGUAGUGGGGUGUUGUCUCAGUGUAUACCUUGCCCAAGACUCAGUAUCUUUUUUAUUUGGAGAGUCGCUAGUGACCCCAGCCCCCUCACCAGCCUCUUCUGUCUCGUCAGGUCCUUCUUCCUCAGUACUGUAUCAGAUCACUGCAUCAGGAAUGGGUGUGCAGCGCCCCUCUGUGUGUGUGUGUGUGUGUAUGUGUGUGUGUGGCAGGGGUGUGUAUGUAACAAUAAACAACCUGGUUUUAAAACAA
Monodelphis domestica (gray short-tailed opossum) is the source of this 5982-nucleotide non-coding RNA. Lineage: Eukaryota; Metazoa; Chordata; Mammalia; Didelphimorphia; Didelphidae. The record is from RefSeq and is a predicted model, not a curated record.